CAAAGGGGAAGAAGCCUUCGUCGCCACUGGGGGAGGCGCCCCCCGAGAGCAGCCCUGACGGGAAGCUUGGCCCUUCCGGGGAGCUCAUGGUGCCUUCGGCAUCUGUGGGCACAGGUGUCCAAGCCCAGCCCUACCGCGGGACCCAGUAGUCGCCCUCGUCCCAGCGCAGCGACGACCGGGGACCGGGAGUCUCCGUGACGAGGCCCCUGUGGGCGCGACCCCGCUCUGGAGACCCAGGAGCGUCCCUCUUCCUCCCGCCUCCGCGCAUCGAGCUGCUGUCUAGCACGUCGGCCCGGGCGUGUGCCCCCCCCCCCCGCCCCCGGCUCCUCGACCCCCCGGCCCGAGGCGGCCACCUUCCCCCCCUUGCCGGCGCCCCCCCCCUUGCCGACCCCAGGACUCGGCACCCGCCACCCUCGGCGCCCGCUCGUCCUGGCCCUGUCCUGCCCGAAACUCGAAGGGCGCCCGCGUCCGGCGCCCCUACGCUCCUACCCGCCGACUCCGGGCUCCCUCCGAGGUCCCCGCGGUCCCCGAUCCCCUCUUCCGGAGGCGGCGCCAGGUGCCAGGCCCGCACAGGUGAGGGGGCGGUGCCGCGGGCGGGCCUGGGGCGCCCCCUGGUGGCGGGAAUGGCCGGGCGGCGCUGAAGGGGAGUCCGCUCCUUUCCCCUGGCAACCGCCCUGUGGGAUAGGGAAUCGCUAAGAAUGACAACAGCAAGGACACAUCUGACCUACCGAGCACUCUGCUAAGUAAGCUCUUUUAUAGGCACAGCUUGCUUACUUUUAUGACACCCUAACGAGGCACGAACUCCCAUUAGCCCUCUUUUACAGACGAGGAAACUGAGGCUGAGGGAGGCUGUAGCUCGCUUGGGUUCACACCGACAGAACUUGAAUGUGAACCACAGAAGUGUGACUUCAGGGCGCGUGCUCCUGCCCUGGUUCCCGUGGGGCUGGGAACCUGGGGUCUCCCUUUCGAGGUUGCACGAGACUCGACCCCACGCUCCAGGCCAGGGCCAGAGGCCUCGGUAUGGACACCAGGAGGAUCCAGGGCCGGACUCAGCCCAGUGCGGCUCGGACAUGUGGGGGACGCCCCGGCCACGGCCUCGUGUCCUGUCACGAGCCUCCUCAGGUGUCCGGGGCUCCCUGCGCCGCUGUGGCGGAGGCUCCUGGCCUGGGGAGCGGGGACACGCCGGGCGCUGGAAGAGCAGUGGGCUGGGAACUGCUCAACAGCAGGCUUUCUGGGGAAACAGAAAGCCCCAGAUGGUUGCACGCGGCACUUUCUGGGGUAGAAGCGCUCCCUCCGUGGCUGAUGUCCAGCUACCGACGUGACAUUGUUGAAUGUGAAGUUGGGCCGAGAUGUGCAUUAUUGGCGUUUAUCAGCUGGUCCCAGCUGCGUCGCACGCCCCUCUGGCUGGCGGCCAGGACUCCUGGGUCCUGGGGACGGGAUCCUAAAGAAAUCAGAGGAAGGUGGCUUCUGGGAAAACGGGGGCAAGGACUCGUGGGAGGCGUGGUCUAGAGGCUGGGACUCCCGAGUCCCAGAUUUGGCUUCAGGCCAAAUCCCAGAUUGGCCACAUUUUAGCUGUGCGCACCUGUGUCGUUUAGCUGAUGGACCUCUGCUGCCCUCGCCUUUCCCAUCUGUAAAACGGGGGAGAUAAGAGUUCCUAGCUUAUAGGGAGGCUUAAAUAAGGGUCAAGCGCCAGCACUUCAUCCUGCUAGGGGCCCUCUGAGUGGCCGUAGCCGGGCCAUAGAAGUGACUCACCACACACGUUCCAGUGUUUUCCUCCUCACGGCCACCCUGACGUCAUAUCCUUCGCAGACCAGAAGCCAGCUCAGGGAGGCCCAGUGAUCUGCCCGUGCAACUUGACAUCAUCAGACUUUUAAAUUUCUGCCAGUCGGGGGGCACCUGGUCACUCUUUGGACGUUUGCAGGAGCCCCCUGCUUCCUCUAGACCCAGGAACUCUGGCCUCCAGCUGUCCUGAUGGACCGGAGGGCUGACUUCACAGGCCCCCCGCUGCCCUCCCCCAGCCUCCCUGCUGAUUCCAGCAGGAAAAUGGAUAGCAGGGACAGAGGGGCCCCAGGGACGCCCUAGCCGGGCUGGGAUAUAACCAGUUAAGGGAGGGAAAGACAACCCAGCCCUCAAACAAGCCAGUUUCCUGGAGCCUCCGGGCUCACUCUCACCCUAGAACUUUCUCCCCACCUUCCCAACAGCAGGUGGGCCCCUACAGUGCCCAAUCUUGGCUCCAGGGUCCCCUCGCAGAGCUGUGGGCGGUCCACGCUGGCAUCCAGAGGCCCAAAGAAUGCCCCCUGCCAUAGAGGUAACCCCGUGGGAACGGUGCGGAUCCAGACCAAGGUGCCUCCGGGCUUUUACGACAUAUACAAAGUCUGUGAACAGUAAGCGGUAUUGUUUGGAGCAUUUUAAACCUCUGUAUAAAAUACUGCACACUCAA
Long non-coding RNA from Neofelis nebulosa (Clouded leopard), 2440 nucleotides. RefSeq lists it as uncharacterized. NCBI's taxonomy places the organism in Eukaryota, Metazoa, Chordata, Mammalia, Carnivora, Felidae. The transcript is spliced from 2 exons. The record is from RefSeq and is a predicted model, not a curated record.